GGCACCAUGGCUAAGUUGGCUAAAGCGCCUGUCUAGUAAACAGGAGAUCCUGGGUUCAACUCCCAGUGGUGCCU
This is a transfer RNA of Anolis carolinensis (green anole), 74 nucleotides long. It matches the Rfam family "tRNA". From Rfam's summary of the family: Transfer RNA (tRNA) molecules are approximately 80 nucleotides in length. Their secondary structure includes four short double-helical elements and three loops (D, anti-codon, and T loops). Further hydrogen bonds mediate the characteristic L-shaped molecular structure. tRNAs have two regions of fundamental functional importance: the anti-codon, which is responsible for specific mRNA codon recognition, and the 3' end, to which the tRNAs corresponding amino acid is attached (by aminoacyl-tRNA synthetases). tRNAs cope with the degeneracy of the genetic code in two manners: having more than one tRNA (with a specific anti-codon) for a particular amino acid; and 'wobble' base-pairing, i.e. permitting non-standard base-pairing at the 3rd anti-codon position. The record is from Rfam. Lineage: Eukaryota; Metazoa; Chordata; Lepidosauria; Squamata; Anolidae.